This is a long non-coding RNA of Myodes glareolus (Bank vole), 2807 nucleotides long. RefSeq lists it as uncharacterized. NCBI's taxonomy places the organism in Eukaryota, Metazoa, Chordata, Mammalia, Rodentia, Cricetidae. The record is from RefSeq and is a predicted model, not a curated record.
UGAGGGAAAAAAAGGAUGGAGGGGGUGGGGUGUCUGGUGAGGGCGCGCCUGGGUGUGGGAAGGUGGCUGACUGUUACUGAAGGGGUACCCUCAGUCAUGUGGCCGACUGGCCUGCUCAGCGAAAAGACAGUUUGGGACCCUCGGAAUCAGGAUGGGGCAGCCUCCUUCUCAUACCCGGAGCGCUUGCUCUGCUUUUAAGGCUGUAACCCUUUCUCUGCUAGAGCCUUCAGAAGUCUGGACAAUGGAAGGGGAGAGUGCUGUGGGGAGGCCUGCUAGCUCCCCCCUCCUUUCCCUCCAGGCUGGAGCCUCCAGGGACAAGUGCUGGCUUUGGAGCCUGGAAUUCUGCAAAGGAAAUUGGUUGGUUGCAUUCCAUGCUAAAGCAGCCUUUCGGAAGCAAGUCAAGAGGUGCACCCGCCUGGCCCCUCUCUCUGCUGCUCAGGCCUGCCCACCUCCGGGUACUCAGAGCAUUUGGCUGCAGGGAGAGUGCUUUCUGCUCCUGACACUAUUCCUGAGCUGACCCUUCCUGGCCCAGCCAGCUAGAAUGUUCUCACUUCCAUGAGUACAAGAUGGUCCCAUUGGGUCUUCAAACAAGGCGAGGAGUGUUGCCUUCUCACAAGCUUUGUGUCCUGCUCAUUACGUCCAUGGUCACAUUCCAUCCCCACUCCAAUCACCACAGACUCGGCCUAUCCCACACCUUGUUACUUCGGGGUUGGUGAGUAGUCCAGCAGACCAAUCGCAGGAUCUUGGAAACCAAAGCCUCAUUGCUGAGCCACUCCACUUCGCGCCCUUCAGCUAGUGGAAGAGAAAAGGGAGAACUCUCAGAAUGGAGGGGGGAGGCUAUGCGAUAACUGGAAAGGCCCAGUCCCAGUUUCUCAUCCUCAGGGGUACCUCUUCUCCCCCAUCCACUUUGUGAUGUCACUAAGAGGUUCUUUUUAAAGACCUAGUGCUAAUGAUUUAUUUGUUAAUAUUUAUCAUUAUUUUAAAUGAAACUUAAAAUUGUUUACACACAUUGUGUGUGUGUGUGUGUGUGUGUGUGUCUUGUACAAGCACAUGGCCAAGUGCACCUAUUUGGAGGCCAGAGGCCAGAUUUCCAGAGUUGGGUCCUCCUACCACAUAGUUCAUGAGGACUGAACCCAGGCUUGUUGACUCAGGCUUGUUACUCACCGAGCCAUCUUGCUUGUCCCUAUAUUUAUAUUUUUAAAAGGCUGGUCUAACUUGAACCUCCUGGUCUCUGAAUUCUGGUUGGGAAGUCUUGUGGGCUAGCCCUAGGUCUCAGCCAUCUGCCUGCUCAUCCUCCUGUUUCCACAUAGAAGUCAGCCCUGGCACCGGCACUGCAGGUUCAAUACAGUAAUGGCCCUGCUGGAAGCCAUCCCUGGGCCUGCAGAUGCAAUUUCAUUCUCCUUCCUCAGUGCCUGAGAUGAUAGGACAUUCUAACAGGAGUGGGCUAUUCCUCCGGUAAGCCACUGAACUCCUGGGGUGCUUUUGGUAAAGCACCCCAGGGCUUAGGGGUUAAGGAACAGCGUCCCCUUGGAGGACCACCCCUCUUGCAGAUGAACACACCCAGCUUUACUGUUCAAAGGGGAACUUCUCAGAAUCUGGGUGUCCUGGCCUCAGCUUCUCACCCCCUUGCAUUCUUUCUCAUUCUUGUAGCUUCCUUCCUGUCUCAUUCCACACAUGCUCCGUUCCGUCCCUGGACUGUAGUGGGUUCCUGUCCGGCUCAGGGAUCUUUUCUAUCUGAGCCCAAUUGCUUUAGUUCAGGACUUCCUUCUCCCACAGCUUAGGUCUGAAGCUGCUUGGUUCCUUUAUUCUGGAGCAGAACAUGGGUCAGAGGGCUGUUAGCUGCAGGGCUCAGGCUGCCUGAGGCCCUGGAUGCUACUCUGCAGGUCCUUCUGAGGCCUGUCUGUGCUACUUUGUGAAGUUUCCAGGACCUGGCCUACUUUCUGGGUCCCCAGGCACUCUGCCUUCAGGAAAGGGAGGGGAGCAUGGCCUAUUGAGAGCUUGCUGCUUUGAGUCUGCUGGAGCGUCAUCUCCAGUUGGAUGGAAUCAAAGGUCGGAAGAAGACAAUCCAGGAUCUGGGGAGAGACCAUGUAUGGGGAAAGGGAGGAGACAGAAAACUCCCAUUUCUGCCAAGUGAGAAGUCAAAGCUGGAAGGAACUGAGUCAGAUGCUGUCAGAGUGUUGGGAACAUCAGAGGGGUCACAGAACUGCCCCUCAUUUUACAGCCUGGACCUGAAGACCGAGAAAGGAAAUGACUUGUCAAAAGUUCGCCAGUUACUCUGCAGGGGAGCCAGGUUUGGGAUGGAGGAGCGACUAGGUCUCCAGACUGACUCCACAGGGCUCCGGUACUUUGAGCCUGGACUGUCAAGACUUUUCUAGAAUGAUUUCAUUGUGCCAUGGGGGAGAUGGUGUGGGGAUAUUUGACCAUCACUGCCAGAUUGCCACCAUGUUUGAAGCCUCCACCCUUCACUUAGUUGAUGUAGGAAAGGUACCUAUCCCAGGGCUAAUUGAGUUGAUAGGAUUUAUGGGCCUCAUAUACUCACAAUCCAGAGAACAGUACUAUCCAAAGAAUUGCCAGAAGGGGCUUGCAUCCUGAACCCAACCAACCUGGAUCUCUGGGAGGCAGGCUUGGCGGGCCAGAGAGAUGUGAUGCCGGGUUCCCUGCAGGACGGUGAACUGGACAGACUGAUUCAUGCUUGUAGUCUCCCGAAAACUGAAGCCUUUGCUCAGGGAGAAGCAAGACGUGAGCCUGGUCCUCAGAAGGAGGGCUGUCUGGCCGAGGACAUUAUCAGCUUGCGUGGAGUGGAGCAG